RNAcentral lists this long non-coding RNA (348 nucleotides) under Elaeis guineensis (African oil palm). RNAcentral describes it as "long non-coding RNA (EGUI_LNC017006)". The record is from RNAcentral. Lineage: Eukaryota; Viridiplantae; Streptophyta; Magnoliopsida; Arecales; Arecaceae.
CAUUUCACCCAGAAUUUGAAAUACCACUUUUUUUCCAAAAUAAUCAAUAUGAGCAUGGUACGAAGAUAACCAGUUCAUCCCAAGAAUAAUAUCAAAAUCAUGCAUAUUUAAUUGAAUCAGAUCUGUUGCUAAUUCUUUUUCUUCUAUUUGGAUUAUGCAAUUCUUAAAAACAAUGUUAGCAACAGCAAUGUUCUUAAGAAGUGUGCUAACAUAUAAUGGCUCAUUCAAUUCUUCAGACACAUAAUUCAAGAAAGUAGCAAAUUUGAGAGAUAUAAAAGAGUGAGAAGAAUCAAAAUCGAAUAGCACAUGAGCAUGUAUGGAAUUGACUGGGAUAGUACUUGUCACCAC